AGACGUCUACAUUAGAUACCCGCGUAGUCCCAGCCGUAAACUAUGCGCGUUAGGUGUAUCGGUGACCACGAGUUACCGAGGUGCCGAAGGGAAACCGUGAAACGUGCCGCCUGGGAAGUACGGUCGCAAGGCUGAAACUUAAAGGAAUUGGCGGGGAGCACCACAACGGGUGGAGCCUGCGGUUCAAUUGGACUCAACGCCGGGAAGCUCACCGGAUAAGACAGCGGAAUGAUUGCCGGGCUGAAGACUCUGCAUGACUAGCUG
This 264-nucleotide ribosomal RNA is filed under the name uncultured archaeon. RNAcentral describes it as "partial 16S ribosomal RNA". It matches the Rfam family "Archaeal small subunit ribosomal RNA", at positions 717 to 982 of the family's 1478-position model. The record is from RNAcentral.